Molecule: long non-coding RNA, 351 nt
Organism: Solanum pennellii
Lineage: Eukaryota; Viridiplantae; Streptophyta; Magnoliopsida; Solanales; Solanaceae
Exons: 2
Source: RefSeq, a predicted model, not a curated record
ACAAAAAGAAACUUUCACUUAAAUAUAGAAAAUGGAGAAGGCAUCAAGAAUCUUGUUCUCUCUUCUUGUUGUGUUCAUUUUGAUAGGUUCACCUUCAUGUAUGGUGAUGGGACAAGGCAAGGCAUGUGAAAGUGUCAAAGAUUGUUAUACUUUAUUUUGCAAACAUGAACAUCUAGUUUGUUUAGAUGGACAUUGUAUAUGCAAUGAAUCACCAAAAAAAAUUGAAUAUGAUCCUUGCAAAAAAGAUGAUGAUUGUAAAGUUUUGUGUGGUCCUGAUUGGCCAGUAGUUAAAUGUAUUAAUGGAGAUUGCUAUUGUGACUUUCAAAAGGUGUAAUAGAAUAUUUUUUCUUA